Molecule: ribosomal RNA, 403 nt
Filed under: bacterium
Lineage: Bacteria
Description: partial 16S ribosomal RNA
Rfam family: Bacterial small subunit ribosomal RNA
Source: RNAcentral
UGGGGAAUAUUGCACAAUGGAGGGAACUCUGAUGCAGCGACGCCGCGUGAACGAAGAAGGCUUUCGAGUCGUAAAGUUGUUUUAUAUGGGAAGAUAAUGACGGUACCAUAAGAAAAAGCCCCGGCUAACUACGUGCCAGCAGCCGCGGUAAUACGUAGGGGGCUAGCGUUGUCCGGAAUCACUGGGCGUAAAGGGUUCGCAGGCGGAAAUGCAAGUCAGGUGUAAAAGGCAGUAGCUUAACUACUGUAAGCAUUUGAAACUGCAUAUCUUGAGAAGAGUAGAGGUAAGUGGAAUUUUUAGUGUAGCGGUGAAAUGCGUAGAUAUUAAAAAGAAUACCGGUGGCGAAGGCGACUUACUGGGCUCAUUCUGACGCUGAGGAACGAAAGCGUGGGUAGCAAACAGG